This 492-nucleotide ribosomal RNA is filed under the name uncultured bacterium. RNAcentral describes it as "partial 16S ribosomal RNA". It matches the Rfam family "Bacterial small subunit ribosomal RNA", at positions 29 to 507 of the family's 1533-position model. The record is from RNAcentral.
AGUGAACGCUGGCGGUAGGCCUAACACAUGCAAGUCGAACGGCAGCACAGUAAGAGCUUGCUCUUACGGGUGGCGAGUGGCGGACGGGUGAGGAAUACAUCGGAAUCUACUUUUUCGUGGGGGAUAACGUAGGGAAACUUACGCUAAUACCGCAUACGACCUACGGGUGAAAGCAGGGGAUCUUCGGACCUUGCGCGAUUGAAUGAGCCGAUGUCGGAUUAGCUAGUUGGCGGGUUAAAGGCCCACCAAGGCGACGAUCCGUAGCUGGUCUGAGAGGAUGAUCAGCCACACUGGAACGGAGACACGGUCCAGACUCCUACGGGAGGCAGCAGUGGGGAAUAUUGGACAAUGGGCGCAAGCCUGAUCCAGCCAUACCGCGUGGGUGAAGAAGGCCUUCGGGUUGUAAAGCCCUUUUGUUGGGAAAGAAAAGCAGCAGGUUAAUACCCCGCUGUUCUGACGGUACCCAAAGAAUAAGCACCGGCUAACUUCGUG